RNAcentral lists this ribosomal RNA (465 nucleotides) under uncultured bacterium. RNAcentral's name for it is "partial 16S ribosomal RNA". It matches the Rfam family "Bacterial small subunit ribosomal RNA", at positions 338 to 795 of the family's 1533-position model. The record is from RNAcentral.
CCUACGGGAGACAGCAGUAGGGAAUCUUCCACAAUGGGCGAAAGCCUGAUGGAGCAACGCCGCGUGGGUGAAGAAGGUCUUCGGAUCGUAAAACCCUGUUGUUAGAGAAGAAAGUGCGUGAGAGUAACUGUUCACGUUUCGACGGUAUCUAACCAGAAAGCCACGGCUAACUACGGGCCAGCAGCCGCGGUAAUACGUAGGUGGCAAGCGUUAUCCGGAUUGAUUGGGCGUAAAGGGAACGCAGGCGGUCUUUUAAGUCUGAUGUGAAAGCCUUCGGCUUAACCGGAGUAGUGCAUUGGAAACUGGGGGACUUGAGUGCAGAAGAGGAGAGUGGAACUCCAUGUGUAGCGGUGAAAUGCGUAGAUAUAUGGAAGAACACCAGUGGCGAAAGCGGCUCUCUGGUCUGUAACUGACGCUGAGGUUCGAAAGCGUGGGUAGCAAACAGGAUUAGAUACCCUGGUAGUC